RNAcentral lists this ribosomal RNA (100 nucleotides) under Parmeliopsis hyperopta. RNAcentral's name for it is "partial 5.8S ribosomal RNA". It matches the Rfam family "5.8S ribosomal RNA", at positions 8 to 107 of the family's 154-position model. From Rfam's summary of the family: 5.8S ribosomal RNA (5.8S rRNA) is a component of the large subunit of the eukaryotic ribosome. It is transcribed by RNA polymerase I as part of the 45S precursor that also contains 18S and 28S rRNA. Lineage: Eukaryota; Fungi; Ascomycota; Lecanoromycetes; Lecanorales; Parmeliaceae. The record is from RNAcentral.
AACAACGGAUCUCUUGGUUCCAGCAUCGAUGAAGNACGCAGCGAAAUGCGAUAAGUAAUGUGAAUUGCAGAAUUCAGUGAAUCAUCGAAUCUUUGAACGC